AUUGAACGCAGGCGGCAUGCUUAACACAUGCAAGUCGAACGGUAACAGGUCUAGCUUGCUAGAUGCUGACGAGUGGCGGACGGGUGAGUAACGCGUGGGAAUCUGCCUUCUAGUGGGGGAUAGCCCGGAGAAAUCCGGAUUAAUACCGCAUACGCCUACGGGGAAAGCCGGGGAUCUUCGGACCUGGCGCUAGUAGAUGAGCCCGCGUGAGAUUAGCUUGUUGGUGGGGUAAUGGCCUACCAAGGCAACGAUCUCUAGCUGGUCUGAGAGGACGAUCAGCCACACUGGGACUGAGACACGGCCCAGACUCCUACGGGAGGCAGCAGUGGGGAAUAUUGGACAAUGGGCGAAAGCCUGAUCCAGCAAUGCCGCGUAGUGUGAAGAAGGCCUGAGGGUUGUAAAGCACUUUCAAUCGUGAAGAAAAGUUGCAGGCUAAUACCCUGUGACCUUGACGUUAACGAUACAAGAAGCACCGGCUAACUCCGUG
Molecule: ribosomal RNA, 487 nt
Filed under: uncultured bacterium
Lineage: Bacteria
Description: bacterial SSU rRNA
Rfam family: Bacterial small subunit ribosomal RNA
Source: RNAcentral